AAAAUAUCAAUGUCUUCUGCCUCAUGUUCUUCAGCUAAUUUUCCUUGUGAUUAAAUAGAUUUUACUCCUAAUCUUGAAAACUCUGCCAAAAAACAUUGGUGCAACUCUUCUCUUUUAGAUCAUGCCCUGCUCAUACUACUUUUGGAGUUUCAAAAUUGUAAGCGUUAUAUUCAUCUACUUUGACGGUACCCCAGGAUUAAGGUAACGUUAACAUUUACCAGUUUUUCUUAGCAAUUUAGGUACUUAGGUUUUCUAGCCUGAAACCCAUUCCAAUACAAUGUUUGGUCGAUUCCCUACCAUUUGCCUGUUAUAAGAUUUUGUUUGUCUAAGUAGAUGCAGUGCAAGUCCAAUCAGUGAGUGCUAGAAAUAGUUGUGAACAUUUUCAGGCUAGACUAUUCAAACUUACAUUGUUUGUCUGCUCCAUGAUGAUACAAUGAUACCACCUUAGCACAGGUGAAGGGCAAUAAUUUUUAUUGUUUAUAUUUUCCAAUUAGGUCUAGGGAUACAAGUUGUGCA
RNAcentral lists this unclassified non-coding RNA (516 nucleotides) under Hevea brasiliensis (rubber tree). Lineage: Eukaryota; Viridiplantae; Streptophyta; Magnoliopsida; Malpighiales; Euphorbiaceae. The record is from RNAcentral.